GGAAGUAAAAGUGUAACAAGGUUUCCGUAGGUGAACCUGCGGAAGGAUCAUUAACGAGUUAGGGUCUUCUAGGCCCGACCUCCCAACCCUUUGUUUACUGAACCAUUGUUGCCUCGGUGGGUCCGUCUUACGACCGCCGGGGGAUCGCCGCGAGGCGCCCCCUGGCCAGCGCCCACCGAUAGCCCAACCUUUAAAACCCUUUGUGAAUCGUGUCCUAUGUCUAAAUUUAUGAUUAAACAAUCAAAACAAAACUUUCAACAACGGAUCUCUUGGUUCUG
RNAcentral lists this unclassified non-coding RNA (278 nucleotides) under plant metagenome. RNAcentral's name for it is "partial contains small subunit ribosomal RNA, internal transcribed spacer 1, and 5.8S ribosomal RNA". The stretch from base 1 to 53 matches the Rfam family "Eukaryotic small subunit ribosomal RNA", at positions 1778 to 1831 of the family's 1831-position model. The record is from RNAcentral.